RNAcentral lists this unclassified non-coding RNA (494 nucleotides) under Hevea brasiliensis (rubber tree). The record is from RNAcentral. Lineage: Eukaryota; Viridiplantae; Streptophyta; Magnoliopsida; Malpighiales; Euphorbiaceae.
GCCCUCUUCAUAUCUUCUUUUGUUACUCUUUCAUCAUCAAAUUUGUACCAUUGAUCAGAAAGUGUUGGCCUGAUAAAAGCAUAAUAAUGUCCACCAUGAACCCCACCACUGUGAACAAGAACACCGUGAAGAGUAUAUAAGUUGCGAACACUCCUAUCAGCGUCAGGUGAUAAAUAUUUGCCAUUCUCUCGAUCAAGGUCAAGUUGCAAAGGGAAUUCAUAACGAUCAUUAAUCUUUACCAUAGUGUCCCGCAUAAAAUCAUAUUCAAAUCGUUUUAGCUGUAGCUGAAGGACGGGGGGGAAAUCAAUAAACAACACACCUUUCUUAGCAUCCUGCAAUCCAUAUUGUUCAGCAUGAUAUUUAUUAUCACCCUCAAGACGUUCAACUUCUACAUACUUAUCAAAAGAAGCAUAAACAUCACAACAGCCUUUUACAUCAAGCUGAAGGUCAUAAAAUGACUCCUUCCUUGUAGAUUUGUAAUCCACAUUGAUGCA